GUAGGUGGCAAGCGUUGUCCGGAAUUAUUGGGCGUAAAGCGCGCGCAGGCGGUCCUUUAAGUCUGAUGUGAAAGCCCACGGCUCAACCGUGGAGGGUCAUUGGAAACUGGGGGACUUGAGUACAGAAGAGGAAAGCGGAAUUCCAAGUGUAGCGGUGAAAUGCGUAGAGAUUUGGAGGAACACCAGUGGCGAAGGCGGCUUUCUGGUCUGUAACUGACGCUGAGGCGCGAAAGCGUGGGGAGCAAACAGGAUUAGAUACCCUGGUAGUCCACGCCGUAAACGAUGAGUGCUAAGUGUUAGGGGGUUUCCCGCCCCCCUUAGUGCUGCAGCUAACGCAUCAAGCACUCCGCCUGGGGAGUACGGCCGCAAGGCUG
This 374-nucleotide ribosomal RNA is filed under the name uncultured organism. RNAcentral's name for it is "partial 16S ribosomal RNA". It matches the Rfam family "Bacterial small subunit ribosomal RNA", at positions 527 to 896 of the family's 1533-position model. The record is from RNAcentral.